This is a non-coding RNA of Pelobates cultripes (western spadefoot toad), 217 nucleotides long. The record is from the annotation of a GenBank genome assembly. NCBI's taxonomy places the organism in Eukaryota, Metazoa, Chordata, Amphibia, Anura, Pelobatidae.
GUUUAUUGAUAACCAAAUAUUUUUAAAGAAGUUAACUGUGAAACGUUUCUUUGCAAAACGUAAUUCACAGGAGACAAGUAAUACAACUUUACUCAAUAAAAAGGAGACUAUAGAUAUUUCUGAACGAUCUCAAGAGGUUUUGCCCAAUGUAUUUUCAUCUUUGAAAAGAAAAUCUAAUUUUUAUCCAUCUUACGAAAAAGGUAAAUAUUUAGAAGUA